Molecule: ribosomal RNA, 450 nt
Filed under: uncultured bacterium
Lineage: Bacteria
Description: partial 16S ribosomal RNA
Rfam family: Bacterial small subunit ribosomal RNA
Source: RNAcentral
CCUACGGGGGGCUGCAGUAAGGAAUAUUGGUCAAUGGAGGAAACUCUGAACCAGCCAUCCCGCGUGAAGGAUGAAGGGGCUCUGCCUUGUAAACUUCUUUUGUCUGGGGCGAAAAAGCUCGAUUUAUCGAGAACUGACGGUACCAGAAGAAUAAGCACCGGCUAACUCCGUGCCAGCAGCCGCGGUAAUGCGGAGGGUGCAGGCGUCAUCCGGAAUCAAUGGGUCUAAAGGGUGCGUAGGAGUCAGAGGUGAAAGGCUGUGGCUUAACCAUGGAAUUGCCAUUGAUACUGCAGAGCUUGAAUGAGGUUGAGGUUGGCGGAAUGUGACAUGUAGCGGUGAAAUGCUUAGAUAUGUCAUGGAACACCGAUUGCGAAGGCAGCUGACUGGACCUAUAUUGACGCUGAGGCACGAAAGCGUGGGGAGCGAACAGGAUUAGAUACCCGUGUAGUA